UCAAGGGUAUGUUACGGGCCUGUCCCCGCGGGCCUGUCAUAGUGUCCCAUGUCAGAGCAAACUGUAGCCCCGAACCAUUGCCUGGCCUCCUUGCCCAUAGGCUGCAGGCACUGAAGUGGGUUGCACAGUG
Small nucleolar RNA from Trichechus manatus latirostris (Florida manatee), 130 nucleotides. RefSeq annotates it as small nucleolar RNA SNORA42/SNORA80 family. The transcript has a single exon. Lineage: Eukaryota; Metazoa; Chordata; Mammalia; Sirenia; Trichechidae. The record is from RefSeq and is a predicted model, not a curated record.